This 88-nucleotide transfer RNA is filed under the name Marasmius tenuissimus. RNAcentral describes it as "tRNA-Lys". It matches the Rfam family "tRNA". From Rfam's summary of the family: Transfer RNA (tRNA) molecules are approximately 80 nucleotides in length. Their secondary structure includes four short double-helical elements and three loops (D, anti-codon, and T loops). Further hydrogen bonds mediate the characteristic L-shaped molecular structure. tRNAs have two regions of fundamental functional importance: the anti-codon, which is responsible for specific mRNA codon recognition, and the 3' end, to which the tRNAs corresponding amino acid is attached (by aminoacyl-tRNA synthetases). tRNAs cope with the degeneracy of the genetic code in two manners: having more than one tRNA (with a specific anti-codon) for a particular amino acid; and 'wobble' base-pairing, i.e. permitting non-standard base-pairing at the 3rd anti-codon position. RNAcentral also lists the same sequence under 1 other name. Lineage: Eukaryota; Fungi; Basidiomycota; Agaricomycetes; Agaricales; Marasmiaceae. The record is from RNAcentral.
GCCCGCCUAGCUCAAUCGGAUAGAGCGUCAGACUCUUACGCUGAGACGGGUGAUCUGAAGGCUGCGAGUUCGACCCUCGCGGUGGGCU